Long non-coding RNA from Sinocyclocheilus rhinocerous, 343 nucleotides. RefSeq lists it as uncharacterized. NCBI's taxonomy places the organism in Eukaryota, Metazoa, Chordata, Actinopteri, Cypriniformes, Cyprinidae. The record is from RefSeq and is a predicted model, not a curated record. The transcript is spliced from 2 exons.
CUCAGAAACUCAUUUGCGCGCAUGUGUUCUUCAAUGUGAACUGCCUAAAUGGUUUCAUUUCUAUCCGAUGACAACCAUAUCCACUCGUGAUUUGGGUGGGGUUUCGCUGGAGGAGCCGCGCUGGACAGUCACAAAUCUGAAGGCAGAGGCGACCCGUUUAUUUAUUCGCACGCCUCAACCGCGCCUUUGUCUGGUCGAUGGUACCCUCAAACACUUACAAUAUGCUGCAGUGUUUUUAUGGACUUGUUUAUCUUUCGGCAGUUUUGGCGUUUGCGACUCUGACAGGUGCACAAGCUGAAUGUCCUCUUCAGCUCAACCCACAGAGAGUUGUUGUGAGAUACGG